AUUGAACGCUAGCGGGAUGCCUUACACAUGCAAGUCGAACGGAGUGGCGAACGGGUGAGUAAUGUAUCGGAACGUGCCCAGUCGCGGGGGAUAACUACGCGAAAGCGUAGCUAAUACCGCAUACUAUUGGAGCGGCCGAUAUCGGGAUAGCUAGUGGGGGGGGUAACGGCUCACCAAGGCGACGAACCGUAGCUGGUUUGAGAGGACGACCAGCCACACUAGGAGUGAGACACGGCCAAGAAGCCUACGGGAGGCAGCAGUGGGGAAUUUGGGACAAUGGGGGAAACCCGGAUCCAGCCAUCCCGCGUGUGCGAUGAAGGCCUGCGGGUUGUAAAGCACUUUUGGCAGGAAAGCGGUACCUGCAGAAUAAGCACCGGCUAACUACGUGCCAGCCGCCGCGGUAAUUC
This 407-nucleotide ribosomal RNA is filed under the name uncultured bacterium. RNAcentral's name for it is "partial 16S ribosomal RNA". It matches the Rfam family "Bacterial small subunit ribosomal RNA", at positions 29 to 526 of the family's 1533-position model. The record is from RNAcentral.